GUCCCUACGGGGGGCAGCAGUGAGGAAUAUUGGUCAAUGGUCGGGAGACUGAACCAGCCAAGCCGCGUGAGAGAGGAAGGUACAGAGUAUCGUAAACCUCUUUUGUCAGGGAACAAAGGCGGGGACGUGUCCCCGGAUGAGUGUACCUGAAGAAAAAGCAUCGGCUAACUCCGUGCCAGCAGCCGCGGUAAUACGGAGGAUGCGAGCGUUAUCCGGAUUUUUUGGGUUUAAAGGGUGCGCAGGCGGUCUGUUAAGUCAUCGGUCAAAGCCCGGUGCUCAACCCCGGCCCGCCGCUGUAA
This 299-nucleotide ribosomal RNA is filed under the name uncultured bacterium. RNAcentral describes it as "partial 16S ribosomal RNA". It matches the Rfam family "Bacterial small subunit ribosomal RNA", at positions 335 to 632 of the family's 1533-position model. The record is from RNAcentral.